UGGGCUGUGGUGAAGCGGUUAACACCCCAGAUUUUGACUCUGGUAUUCGUGGGUUCGAUUCCCACCAGUCUAG
RNAcentral lists this transfer RNA (73 nucleotides) under Siphoviridae sp. cttFh17. Its description in RNAcentral is "tRNA-Gln". It matches the Rfam family "tRNA". Rfam says of the family: Transfer RNA (tRNA) molecules are approximately 80 nucleotides in length. RNAcentral also lists the same sequence under 1 other name. Lineage: Duplodnaviria; Heunggongvirae; Uroviricota; Caudoviricetes. The record is from RNAcentral.